RNAcentral lists this ribosomal RNA (1424 nucleotides) under metagenome. RNAcentral describes it as "bacterial SSU rRNA". It matches the Rfam family "Archaeal small subunit ribosomal RNA". The record is from RNAcentral.
GUUGAUCCCGCGGGAGGCCGCUGCUAGUGGGGUUCGUCAAACAUGCAAGUCUGAGCGCAAGCUCGGCGUAAGUCUCCGUAACACGUCGAUAAUCUGCCCUCUGGUCUGGGAUACCCUCGCGAAAGUGAGGAUAAACCCGGAUGGGAGAUGGAUACUGGAAUGUUCCUUCUCUGAAAAGCAAUGCCAGAGGGUGAGUCGGCGGCCGAUUAGGCUGUUGGUGAGGUAAAGGCUCACCAAACCUACGAUCGGUAGGGGGGAUGGAAGUCCACGCCCCGUGAAGGGCACUGAGACAGGGGCCCUAGUCCUAAGGGAUGCAGCAGUUGCGAACUCUCUACCCUGUGCGCAAGCGCGAUAGGGGGACCCCACGUGCUUACUCUUCGGAGUAGGCUUUUCUUAUGUUAAAAAGACAUAAGGAAUAAAUGGUGGGCAAUACUGGUGCCAGCCGCCGCGGUAACCCCGGAGCCAUGAGUGGGGGCCACGAUUAUUGGGUCUAAAGCGUCUGUAGCCGACAGAGUAAGUUCCUUGUGAAAUUGUUGUGCUUAACAUAACAGAUGGCGAGGAAUACUACUUUGUUAGGGACCGGGAGGAGGCAAGAGAAUGCUGAGGGGAGCGGUUAAAUGCUUUAAUCCUCAGUGGACUACCAAUAGCGAAGGCACUUGCCUAGAACGGGUCCGACGGUCAGAGACGAAAGCUGGGGGAGCAAAAGGGAUUAGAUACCCCUGUAGUCCCAGCUGUAAACACUGCAGACUGGAUGUUGCAUAUCCUUCGUGGGUAUGCAGUGUCGAAGCGAAGGCGUUAAGUCUGCCACCUGGGGAGUACGGUCGCAAGGCUGAAACUUUAAGGAAUAGGCGGGGGCGCACAACCAGGGGUGACGCGUGCGGUUCAAUUUAACACUACACAGAAAAUCUUACCCAGAUCGACGGCAGGAUGAAGGUCAGAUUCAAGGUUUUACCUAACAAGCCGAGAGAUAUUGCAUGGCCGUCGUCAGUUCGUGUCGCAAGAUGUCAGGUUAAGUCCUGCAACGAACAAGACCCUCACUUUUAUUUGCUAGCGGCUUCUCCGGAAGGACCGAGCACAAUAAAGGGACUGCCUGGGUAACCAGGAGGAAGGUGUGGGCAACGAUAGGUCUGUACGGUUCGAAUAUUUGGGGCUACACGCGCGCGGCAAUGGCAGAGACAGUCGGAUGCAACUCCGAAAGGAGAAGCAAAGCCUAGAAACUCUGUCUUAGUCCAGAUCGAGGGCUGUAACUCGCCCUCGUGACGCUGGAAUCCCUAGUAAUCGCUUGUCAACAACAAGCGGUGAAUACGUCCCGGUGCCUUGCACUCACUGCCCGUCAAGUCAACCGAGCAGGGUCUCAGUGAAGACAGGUCUUCGGGCUUGGAUGAACUGAGGCUCAGUGAGGUGGGUUAAGUCGACACAAGGUA